This 322-nucleotide ribosomal RNA is filed under the name Chironomus cingulatus. RNAcentral's name for it is "eukaryotic LSU rRNA". It matches the Rfam family "Eukaryotic large subunit ribosomal RNA", at positions 1 to 287 of the family's 3401-position model. The record is from RNAcentral. Lineage: Eukaryota; Metazoa; Arthropoda; Insecta; Diptera; Chironomidae.
GAUUUCGCGACCUCAACUCAUGUGUGACUACCCCCUGAAUUUAAGCAUAUUAAUUAGGGGAGGAAAAGAAACCAACAGGGAUUCCCUUAGUAGUGGCGAACGAAACGGGAUCAGCCCAUCACGUAGGAUCAUAGGCUUAAUUGUCCUAUUGAUCGAUUCCGUGUAAAGGAGGGUCCAUUAUCUUGCACAUAUAAACAUCAUAUUUAAGUCCAGCUUGAAUGCGGCUCAAUAUACCCACAGAGGGUGCCAGGCCCGUAUAUGUAUGAUGCUUGUGUAAGUGGGCUAUUAACUCCUAGGAGUCAUGUUGCUUGAUAGUGCAGCA